AUCCUGGCUCAGGAUGAACGCUAGCUACAGGUUUAACACAUGCAAGUCGAGGGGCAGCGGGAUUGAAGCUUGCUUCAAUUGCCGGCGACCGGCGCACGGGUGAGUAACGCGUAUCCAACCUUCCGUACACUCAGGGAUAGCCUUUCGAAAGAAAGAUUAAUACCUGAUGGUAUGAUGAGAUUGCAUGAUAGCAUCAUUAAAGAUUUAUCGGUGUACGAUGGGGAUGCGUUCCAUUAGGUAGUAGGCGGGGUAACGGCCCACCUAGCCAACGAUGGAUAGGGGUUCUGAGAGGAAGGUCCCCCACAUUGGAACUGAGACACGGUCCAAACUCCUACGGGAGGCAGCAGUGAGGAAUAUUGGUCAAUGGACGAGAGUCUGAACCAGCCAAGUAGCGUGAAGGAUGAAGGUCCUACGGAUUGUAAACUUCUUUUAUAAGGGAAUAAACCCUCCCACGUGUGGGAGCUUGUAUGUACCUUAUGAAUAAGCAUCGGCUAACUCCGUGCCAGCAGCCGCGGUAAUACGGAGGAUGCGAGCGUUAUCCGGAUUUAUUGGGUUUAAAGGGAGCGCAGACGGGUCGUUAAGUCAGCUGUGAAAGUUUGGGGCUCAACCUUAAAAUUGCAGUUGAUACUGGCGUCCUUGAGUGCGGUUGAGGUGUGCGGAAUUCGUGGUGUAGCGGUGAAAUGCUUAGAUAUCACGAAGAACUCCGAUUGCGAAGGCAGCACACUAAUCCGUAACUGACGUUCAUGCUCGAAAGUGUGGGUAUCAGACAGGAUUAGAUACCCUGGUAGUCCACACGGUAAACGAUGGAUACUCGCUGUUGGCGAUAUACUGUCAGCGGCUUAGCGAAAGCGUUAAGUAUCCCACCUGGGGAGUACGCC
RNAcentral lists this ribosomal RNA (878 nucleotides) under uncultured Bacteroidota bacterium. RNAcentral's name for it is "bacterial SSU rRNA". It matches the Rfam family "Bacterial small subunit ribosomal RNA", at positions 16 to 886 of the family's 1533-position model. Lineage: Bacteria; Pseudomonadati; Bacteroidota. The record is from RNAcentral.